This 1972-nucleotide long non-coding RNA is filed under the name Marmota monax (woodchuck). The record is from RNAcentral. Lineage: Eukaryota; Metazoa; Chordata; Mammalia; Rodentia; Sciuridae.
ACUAUCACUUCCCGAGGUUUUAAGGCGCUGCAAAAAAUGAACUUGAAAUAGGUGUGUAAACAUUAAAGUUGUUUAGCAAAUUCUCUAAAAGCUAUUUUUUUCUAUUUUAUAUUCAUUCAAAUUCCACCUGACAAUAUUAUUUUGCAGUUUUAAAAUAUGAAAAACCCAAGAAAUGACAAUGAACUGCUAUGAUAGCAAGCAGUUCCCCAGAAGAAUUCUCUUACACAUUUUGAAAUUGUGUAUUUUGGCUGAAAAUCACACUGUUUGUAAAGUUAAGCUAUUUGGAACUCAGAUGUCCUACAACUUUAUUUAACUUUGUCAAUGGGCAUUAUAACAAUAGAAGCCAAAGCAACUAUUAUCAAGACAGGCCACUGUCAGAAUGGUAGAAAAGGAAUUUGUCUUUGACGCCCUAUGCUCUGAUUCUCAUUAUGUCCUCUAAACCCUAUUCUCUUCAAAACCACUCCUAAAAAAAUUAGCUUUACAUAGAAACAUAAUAUCAUUAAACAAAAUACGUUACAGUUUUCCCCCAAUUCAGUUUCUCUCCCUUUCCCUCCCUCUUGCUUUGCUGUUUAUCAUCUUUACCUCACCACCUUCAUCUCUGUGGGUUCUACAUCAUUCCACACACUAUAUUUCUGUCUUCUAUGUCUUGGUGGGAAUUGGAGAGACAAUUUAGAGAAGAUGGGCCACAUAAUAAGCAGCAGAUGUUUGCUAUUUGUGGAUCAGUAAGGAAGAGCAACUUCAACUUGGCUUGGAUUCUUCCAGUCAAGCCAGACAAAGGAGAAAAGCAACGUCUUCUCUCUCUUUACCUCACUGCUUCCUACUGCAGAAGCAAAGAUUUAAAAAAUGGGAGGAAAAAAACAAACUGUGAAAACAGAAAAUAUAAAAAUCCAGAAAGUUUUAAUGUAUUUACCACCUAUGCUUUUAUAUUCCCAAUGCUGUAGGCUGUUAUCUUUAUUUCACACAUUCUGCAGAAUCUUUAAUUUAUUGAAUAAACACUAGACUCAAAUUUUAGCUUUAGAGAAGCUAAACAUGCCAUUGUAUGGGACAAGGUUUGCUUUUAAAAAUCUCUUUUAUUCUAAACAGUUAUUUUUCUACUUUGCAAAUGGAGAUUUUGGAGGAGUGGUAGUUGUUGAGAUGGGUUAAGAGAAAAGAGAAGCUUAAUAAAGAGGAGACCCAGGAAGCUUUCUUCUCUGUGCAGGCAGCAUAAAUGCACCAUGAUGGUAGUUAUUUAUAGAUGCCACCCUUGUGGUCUGAUUUGGAAAAAGUGAUUCUAAAAGUGGCCAUUUCAGGAUUACUAGGGGAGGACAAUGCCAUGGCAUAGUAGAAGGCAGUUGAGGGGUUUGGGAAAGUUGUGUUUACUGAACCGUACUCAAAGGCUGAACAGCUUUUACUCAAGAUUGGCUUGGCUUGAAACUCAUUGCUCUGUAACUUCAAGCUCCAUGAAGUGAGAGAUGUGUUGGUUUUUUCCAUCCUUGUUAACCCCAGGGAUUCUAGAGAGCCUGAUUCAAUAAAUGUAAAAUAAUCAUUGAAUGGAAAAAUAGCUUAAAAGAAGUACAUCUUGGGCUGGGGUUAUAGCUCAGUGGUUGAGCACUUGUCUCGCAUGCGUGAGACACUGGGUUUGAUCCUCAGCACCACAUAAAAAUAAAUAAAUAGAUAAAACAAAUACAGUGUGUACAUCUACAACAGAAAAAAAAUGGAAAAAAAAGUACAUCUUCAUGAUUUUCUCUUGGAGUUAAUGAUUUAAGGACAGACUGUAUUUGUGUUUACAUCUUGAUGAUCUGCUCUGCUAUUAUAUGACUUCUAAUUAAUAACAUUCAGUGUCAUAAAAUGUACCAGCUGCAAAGGACCUUACAGAUCUCUAAUCUGACUUUCUCAUAUGACAAAACCACGGCCUGCUUCCCUAAGCCCUUGUUCAACAGUAAGAGUCAGUGUUUCUUCACUGAGAACUCAGGUUCAAUGACUACCAAUCUAA